This 73-nucleotide transfer RNA is filed under the name Candidozyma auris. RNAcentral's name for it is "[Candida] auris tRNA-Phe". Lineage: Eukaryota; Fungi; Ascomycota; Pichiomycetes; Serinales; Metschnikowiaceae. The record is from RNAcentral.
GAAAUGCUGUCUGAGUAUAAAAACAACAAAAAACCUCAGUAAUAUUUCACAUUUUGACAGUUCUCGGUGCUUA